GAUGAACGCUGGCGGCGUGCUUAACACAUGCAAGUCGAACGAAGCACUUUAACUUGAUUUCUUCGGAUUGAUUGUUAUUGUGACUGAGUGGCGGACGGGUGAGUAACGCGUGGGUAACCUGCCUCAUACAGGGGGAUAACAGUUGGAAACGGCUGCUAAUACCGCAUAAGCGCACGGUAUCGCAUGAUACAGUGUGAAAAACUCCGGUGGUAUGAGAUGGACCCGCGUCUGAUUAGCUAGUUGGCGGAGUAACGGCCCACCAAGGCAACGAUCAGUAGCCGACCUGAGAGGGUGACCAGCCACAUUGGGACUGAGACACGGCCCAAACUCCUACGGGAGGCAGCAGUGGGGAAUAUUGCACAAUGGGCGAAAGCCUGAUGCAGCGACGCCGCGUGAGCGAUGAAGUAUUUCGGUAUGUAAAGCUCUAUCAGCAGGGAANAA
Molecule: ribosomal RNA, 441 nt
Filed under: uncultured bacterium
Lineage: Bacteria
Description: bacterial SSU rRNA
Rfam family: Bacterial small subunit ribosomal RNA
Source: RNAcentral